Long non-coding RNA from Impatiens glandulifera, 418 nucleotides. RefSeq lists it as uncharacterized. The record is from RefSeq and is a predicted model, not a curated record. The transcript has 3 exons. NCBI's taxonomy places the organism in Eukaryota, Viridiplantae, Streptophyta, Magnoliopsida, Ericales, Balsaminaceae.
CUUCAAGCUCAACUCUUUUCAAAUGGAAGGAAUUCAUCUCUCAGACACCACAUACAACUUGUUCAUUUUUUAUCAAUCUUUCAAUGACCACAUCAAUGAUCUUUUGCUAUGAAAGUUUAGUUGCAAAUGCUGGAAUUGCUUCAUUUGUUUGUUGCACUUAACAAAUGGGGAAAUAUUACGAUUAACUGUUGGUCUUAAUAAAGGACCACUUCUGAAGGGUUUGGUUUUAUUCAAUACGCCACUCUUGAGGAUUCUGCUGCAGGGAUACAGGGCAUGGAUGGAAAGUUCUUGGACGGAUGGGUUAUCUUUACUGAAAUCGCUAGACCAAGGACUCUAGUGCUUUCAGUUGGGAACAAUGCUGAUAAUUGGUGGCAUGUUGAUUUCUGAUUCGAUGAUGAACAUGUUUAGAUAUUUGAUU